AUGUCUAAUUUGGUGGUCCCGAUGAAAUGUGCUUUCUGUUUCAUGUUUCCCGGUGAGAUAAGACGGCUAUCAGGGCAGGAAGCCUUCUUGGAAGUCACCGUGGGCUUGGCAUCGCCGCGCAUCGAGGUAGCCAUGGAAACCUGCUCUCAAAGCCGGCGCCGGCUGAUAAGAACCUCAAGUGCCACCGCCUGUGUCCGGCCGGGAGAAGGUGAGCAGGAAAGCUGUAUAGAAACAGAUCACAAUUUGGUAAAUUCUACCUGCUGGAGAAGUUUUUCAGCAUUCCCUAGGAAGGCAUUAUAUCUACGAUCACCCAAGUUACCUGGAGAAAACCAUGACACACAAACAAUGGAGCAGAAUACAACACAGACACGGACACCAUCCUUGAAUGCUCAAACAACAGAUGGAGCUAUCAAGAUUCAAAAUUUAGUUUAUUUUCUUGUGAGCUGAAGAGCAGGGAUGGCCUAACAUCUCUAGACCUUGCCUUCAUAUUUUGGACUGUUUGUGCCAUUUUUGAUCGGCAGAUCUUCAAGUUGCCAUUGGUUUCAGAAUGCACAUGAACCAUUCAGCAUUUGGGAACUGCAUUGCUCAACUGCAACCAAGGAUCUGGAGCAUGAUGUCCUGAUGAAAUAAAUCAUAUGUUCCCCGACCA
Molecule: long non-coding RNA, 649 nt
Filed under: Anser cygnoides (Swan goose)
Lineage: Eukaryota; Metazoa; Chordata; Aves; Anseriformes; Anatidae
Description: lncRNA (ENSACDG00005008045.1)
Source: RNAcentral